AUGUCGCGCCUCCAGCCCCGCUCUUUCUCCAGUCCCGUCUCCUCACGAGUCAGCGAGCUGCUGGAUGAAUUCAAAUAUCAUCUGGGCUCUGGGACGCUCUGGCCGGAGCUCGCGCACCAACUAUUCGACGAAAUGCUGCGCCAACCCGUCCCGGUUUCAGCACGCGCACUCGGCGGCUUAUUUUCUGCCCUCGCGCGUGCGCGGCCCUCAACCGCCUGUACUGAUGGCCCCGCCCUCGCCAUCGAUCUCUUCAACCGCCACCGGAUAGCACCUGACAUUUACACCUACAACAUACUAAUUAACUGCUGCCACCGAGCAUGCCGCCCAGACCUAGGGCCUGCCUUCUUCGGAUGCCUUCUCAAGACAGGCAUCACGACGGACGUCAUUACCUACAGCAGUUUAUUGCAGUGCUUCUGUGACAUGAAGCGGACAGAGGAAGCUCUGGACCUGCUGCUCCAUAGGGUGAGUGAUAACCUGCCUGAUGCCAUCUCCUACUCAGUUAUUCUCAAGAGCUUCUGCGACAACGGAAGGAGCCAGUGUGCGCUUGACCUGCUCCAGAUGAUGGCCAAAAAAGGUGCUGACCAUUCCCCCAACGUGGUCUCAUACAACUUGGUAAUCAAUGGUUUCUUUAAGGAGGGUGAAAUAAGCAAAGCAUGUGAUCUGUUCCAUGAAAUGAUACAACAAGGGUUUGUUCCCGAUGUGGUGACGUAUAACUCUGUUAUUAAUGCACUGUGCAAAGCAAGAGCAAUGGACAAGGCAGAGGUGGUCCUUCGAUCGAUGGUUCAUAAUAGUGUCCAACCGGAUGUUGUAACAUAUAAUAGCUUGAUCCAAGGAUUUUUAACUACGGGUCAGCUGAAAGAAGCCUUUAGGUUGUUGAAAGUGAUGAGAAGCCAAGGUGUUAUGCCAAGCGUUGUUACUUGCACCUCAGUCAUGGACUACCUUUGCAAGCAUGGAAGAAUCAAAGAAGCUGAGGAAACAUUUUAUUCCAUGGCCGUGAGUGGCCGAAAACCAGAUACAGUCUCAUACUCUAUUAUGCUCCUUGGGUACGCUAUAGAAGGAUCCCUUGUUAAAAUGAUUGAUCUCUGUGAGAUGAUGGCAAGAGAUGGAGUUGUACCCGACCUCCGUUGUUUCAACAUACUGAUUAAGGCAUAUGCUAAGUAUGGCAGGAUGGAUGUGGCCAUGCUUUUCUUUGAAGACAUGUUGAAGCAGGGUGUGAAGCCUAAUGGAUUCACUUAUUUAAUUGUGAUAUCUGCAUUUUGCAAGAUGGGCAGGAUGGAUGAUGCGAUGGAAAAAUUCAAUGAGAUGAUUGAUAUGGGAGUACCACUUGACACAGAAGUUUACAUGUGCAUGGUUGAGGGUUAUUUUAAUCAUGGUGAUUCCAUGAAAGCCGAGGAAUUUAUUACCAAAAUGAAGAACAGGGAUAUUCAUCAUAAGCCAUGGAAAGGUAAUCGAUGA
This 1455-nucleotide ribosomal RNA is filed under the name Triticum aestivum (bread wheat). RNAcentral describes it as "partial small subunit ribosomal RNA". Lineage: Eukaryota; Viridiplantae; Streptophyta; Magnoliopsida; Poales; Poaceae. The record is from RNAcentral.